ACUCCUACGGGAGGCAGCAGUGGGGAAUAUUGCACAAUGGGGGAAACCCUGAUGCAGCCAUGCCGCGUGUGUGAAGAAGGCCUUCGGGUUGUAAAGCACUUUCAGCGAGGAGGAAAGGGUGUGUGCUAAUACCAUACAUUCNGUUGACGUUACUCGCAGAAGAAGCACCGGCUAACUCCGUGCCAGCAGCCGCGGUAAUACGGAGGGUGCGAGCGUUAAUCGGAAUUACUGGGCGUAAAGCGCAUGCAGGCGGCCUGUUAAGUCAGAUGUGAAAGCCCGGGGCUUAACCUCGGAAUUGCAUUUGAAACUGGCAAGGCUAGAGUCUUGUAGAGGGGGGUAGAAUUUCAGGUGUAGCGGUGAAAUGCGUAGAGAUCUGAAGGAAUACCAGUGGCGAAGGCCGCCCCUGGACAAAGACUGACGCUCAGAUGCGAAAGCGUGGGGAGC
RNAcentral lists this ribosomal RNA (444 nucleotides) under uncultured bacterium. RNAcentral's name for it is "bacterial SSU rRNA". It matches the Rfam family "Bacterial small subunit ribosomal RNA", at positions 335 to 769 of the family's 1533-position model. The record is from RNAcentral.